GUCAGCUCAACUCUUUCCUCCGAAUCACCUCCCAAGUAGCAACCAUGUAAUUUCAGGAAACCCAAAGCAACUCUUAAGAAGGGCAACGUGAGUGAUCCUUGCACAGGGUGCUGACCUGAAACCUGAAACCUCUGUGGUCCUGUUUUUCAUUUCUCAGGGUGAGGGUGCCUUGCAUUUCCACCAGGGAGCCCUGAAGAAUAGUUCCUGCUGCCAUUGUCCUCUGCAGAGAGCAUCCUGCAGUUCCCACAGCAGGACUGCCGCUGCACUUAGGGCUUGCCAACAUUCUUCUGACUUCCAACCUGUCUUCAGCAGCGGGGGUGCUGGUUUCCCUUCAUAUUCUUCGCUCAUGGAAAGACCUAAGCUGACUUAUCUGUAGACUGGGCCAUUCUCAGGGAAGCCAGAUAACUCCGUGGGAUUGCCUUUAAAAACAUUACAGAAAUCUCCAUUCUGCAAAUCUAAAGAUAAAACUUCAUUUUCUGGACAAGCUGAGCUCUCAUGCAAGAGUGCAAGGUUCAGUCUCAGAAGGGCAGACUUAUAGUAACCGAACUCAUUUGUAAACUGAGCAACCAAGCCCAUUUUUAAGAUCCAGAACCACUGAAGAAACUCAAGCAGUGCUCUUGGCUCUUGGCUCUUAGCUGGUGCACUCUCCCUCUGGGGGCCUACAGGAGGUCCCAAUUAUCAUUAGUGGUUGCUUGAUGAGGGUGGCUUCCAGACGCUUCUGAGUACUGACAACAGUGUGCUCUGCUGCCAAGGCAUCCUGCCUCCCUAUGGAGAACAUGGAGUAGUCAUUUAAUACCUGCCACCCAAGGGACUGGAUGGAAGAAGGGCAGGCUUCAGAGGAUUUAUACUCUGAAGACAGUUAUGUUUGAUCUGAAAAUGAAAAAGUGGUGGGGAACCAGCACAAAGGCACUGUGUAUAAAUCAGGAAACAAGCCCUCACCAGAUACCAAGUCUACUGGCACCUUGAUCUUGGACUUCCCAUCCUCCAGAACUGUGAGAAAUAAAUUUCUGUUGUUUAUAAGUCACCCACUCCAUGGUAUUUUGUUAUGGCAGCCUGAACAGACUAAGAUAAAAUAUGACUUCCCAUUCUACAGAUAGAAAAGCUGAUGAGCAGAGAAGAUAAUUAACUUGCCUAAUGGAUACCUAGCUAGUAAGAAAGAGUGAGUGAGCUGGGACUUAAAUCCAGAGGCUGUGUUUCUGACAUCCCACAUUAAAAGCUAUUUCCCAUGUCUCCACUCCUGACCCCAGUAAAGCUAUUUCCACCCAUAUCUUUUCUGCCAGACAAUCUCAUAAGCCUCCUGACCAUUAGUUUUGCACCACAAAAU
RNAcentral lists this long non-coding RNA (1324 nucleotides) under Homo sapiens (human). RNAcentral's name for it is "HSALNT0139241". Lineage: Eukaryota; Metazoa; Chordata; Mammalia; Primates; Hominidae. The record is from RNAcentral.